UGUCACGACCCGAGAGUACCCCCUAGUCGUAACAUGGCGUAUUCGACCCCGAAGGGGUCUUAUACGAGCCACAUAGUCAUUCAUUGCAUUCAAUAAUGAAAAUAGUGCAGAAUAAAAAAAAAACUUAUUUACAUCCACACAUUUAAACUUCAUUAAAACAACUUUAAAAACACACAGCGGAAGUCUAAGUCUCACAUGGCCAUCUUAGACACAGUCACAAAACAUAAGUAGGGACACGGCCCUUUACAAUCAAAAGAAGUCUAUUAAGUCUAUCACAUGAACAAAAGAACUUAAAAGUCUUAUCCUCGAAUCCAUGAGGACAUACCAAGUCUUGGAGGAAAGCAAUCCAACACUUCAAACUAGCUAGGAGGGAUCACUUGCCGG
This 384-nucleotide long non-coding RNA is filed under the name Solanum tuberosum (potato). RNAcentral's name for it is "long non-coding RNA (STUB_LNC011566)". Lineage: Eukaryota; Viridiplantae; Streptophyta; Magnoliopsida; Solanales; Solanaceae. The record is from RNAcentral.